This 255-nucleotide ribosomal RNA is filed under the name uncultured bacterium. RNAcentral describes it as "partial 16S ribosomal RNA". It matches the Rfam family "Bacterial small subunit ribosomal RNA", at positions 524 to 776 of the family's 1533-position model. The record is from RNAcentral.
UACGGGGGGGGCAAGCGUUGUUCGGAAUUACUGGGCGUAAAGGGCGCGUAGGCGGUCAGACCAAGUCGAGUGUGAAAUUCCAGGGCUUAACUCUGGCGCGCUCGCUCGAUACUGGUCGGCUAGAGUGUGGAAGAGGAUGCUGGAAUUCCUGGUGUAGCGGUGAAAUGCGCAGAUAUCAGGAGGAACACCGGUGGCGAAGGCGGGUCUCUGGACAGUUCCUGACACUGAGACACGAAGGCCAGGGGAGCAAACGGG